UACGAAGGGGGCUAGCGUUGUUCGGAAUUACUGGGCGUAAAGCGCGCGUAGGCGGAUCGCUAAGUCAGGGGUGAAAUCCCAGGGCUCAACCCUGGAACUGCCUCUGAUACUGGCAAGCUGGAGAUCGGGAGAGGUUGGUGGAAUUCCGAGUGUAGAGGUGAAAUUCGUAGAUAUUCGGAGGGACACCAGAAGCGAAGGCGGCCAACUGGCCCGAUACUGACGCUGAGGCGCGAAAGCGUGGGGAGCAAACAGG
RNAcentral lists this ribosomal RNA (253 nucleotides) under uncultured bacterium. RNAcentral's name for it is "partial 16S ribosomal RNA". It matches the Rfam family "Bacterial small subunit ribosomal RNA", at positions 524 to 776 of the family's 1533-position model. The record is from RNAcentral.